AGUGGGUGUAACGUACCUACUAGCCUACGACGGGUACGGGUUGUGAGAGCAAGAGCCCGGAGAUGGAUUCUGAGACACGAAUCCAGGCCCUACGGGGUGCAGCAGGCGCGAAAACUUUACAAUGCGGGAAACCGUGAUAAGGGAAUCUCGAGUGCCAGCAUAUAAUGUUGGCUGUCCAGAUGCCUAAAAAGCAUCUGUUAGCAAGGGCCGGGCAAGACCGGUGCCAGCCGCCGCGGUAACACCGGCGGCCCGAGUGGUAACCGUUUUUAUUGGGUCUAAAGGGUCUGUAGCCGGCCAUGUAAGUCCCUUGGGAAAUCUGGCAGCUCAACUGUCAGGCUGCUAGGGGAUACUGCUUGGCUUGGGACCGGGAGAGGUGAGAGGUACCUUGAGGGUAGGGGUGAAAUCUUGUGAUCCUCGGGGGACCACCAGUGGCGAAGGCGUCUCACCAGAACGGGUCCGACGGUAAGGGACGAAAGCUAGGGGCACGAACCGGAUUAGAU
Molecule: ribosomal RNA, 500 nt
Filed under: uncultured microorganism
Description: bacterial SSU rRNA
Rfam family: Archaeal small subunit ribosomal RNA
Source: RNAcentral